This 730-nucleotide ribosomal RNA is filed under the name uncultured bacterium. RNAcentral describes it as "bacterial SSU rRNA". It matches the Rfam family "Bacterial small subunit ribosomal RNA", at positions 771 to 1501 of the family's 1533-position model. The record is from RNAcentral.
AACAGGAUUAGAUACCCUGGUAGUCCACGCCGUAAACGAUGUCGACUUGGAGGUUGUGCCCUUGAGGCGUGGCUUCCGGAGCUAACGCGUUAAGUCGACCGCCUGGGGAGUACGGCCGCAAGGUUAAAACUCAAAUGAAUUGACGGGGGCCCGCACAAGCGGUGGAGCAUGUGGUUUAAUUCGAUGCAACGCGAAGAACCUUACCUGGUCUUGACAUCCACAGAACUUUCCGGAGAUGGAUUGGUGCCUUCGGGAACUGUGAGACAGGUGCUGCAUGGCUGUCGUCAGCUCGUGUUGUGAAAUGUUGGGUUAAGUCCCGCAACGAGCGCAACCCUUAUCCUUUGUUGCCAGCGGUCCGGCCGGGAACUCAAAGGAGACUGCCAGUGAUAAACUGGAGGAAGGUGGGGAUGACGUCAAGUCAUCAUGGCCCUUACGACCAGGGCUACACACGUGCUACAAUGGCGCAUACAAAGAGAAGCGACCUCGCGAGAGCAAGCGGACCUCAUAAAGUGCGUCGUAGUCCGGAUUGGAGUCUGCAACUCGACUCCAUGAAGUCGGAAUCGCUAGUAAUCGUGGAUCAGAAUGCCACGGUGAAUACGUUCCCGGGCCUUGUACACACCGCCCGUCACACCAUGGGAGUGGGUUGCAAAAGAAGUAGGUAGCUUAACCUUCGGGAGGGCGCUUACCACUUUGUGAUUCAUGACUGGGGUGAAGUCGUAACAAGGUAACC